CAGAUAAGGGAAUUGGAUUAGUUGUUAGCAGGUGUCAACCACAUUCUCUUUCAGGUAGUUUAGUGGUUUGGUGUUAGGAAUGCUGAGUUACUUGUUUAACUGGCCUUCUACGCUUGCCAGCUGGACAGAUUGAAUCGAUUUAACCCAUCCCUGGGUGAUGAAAUUGUCCUCAACCCUAAUAUGGAGGUGGUUUGCAAAAUGACAACUUAUCCAGAGGCGGUCAAGAAACUUUA
Molecule: long non-coding RNA, 233 nt
Filed under: Callithrix jacchus (white-tufted-ear marmoset)
Lineage: Eukaryota; Metazoa; Chordata; Mammalia; Primates; Cebidae
Description: lncRNA (ENSCJAG00000078359.1)
Source: RNAcentral